Molecule: signal recognition particle RNA, 312 nt
Rfam family: Archaeal signal recognition particle RNA
GGCUGGGGUAGGGCUGGGAGGGUAGCCGCCUCCUAAUUCCGGAAGGCUAAAGCCGGGGCCAGUAAUCCCCGAGGGCGGUGUCCCGAAGCACGCCACGGGGUUGGAGUGGAACCUGAUGAAGCUUCGCCUCAGGGGGCCUGCGGAGGGGGCGUUCCCUUGGAGAAGGGACUCCGACCCCCUUGCCAGCGAAACCGGCCAGGCUCGGAAGAGAGCAGCCGUAAGCUGGACGCUAGGUGCUCCUGAGCAACGAGGCUGAAGAGUCCCCCAACUCACGGGCGUGCCUAGGGUCAUCCACCUCGGGGAAGCCCAGCC